This 609-nucleotide ribosomal RNA is filed under the name Sanghuangporus baumii. Its description in RNAcentral is "eukaryotic LSU rRNA". It matches the Rfam family "Eukaryotic large subunit ribosomal RNA", at positions 66 to 648 of the family's 3401-position model. The record is from RNAcentral. Lineage: Eukaryota; Fungi; Basidiomycota; Agaricomycetes; Hymenochaetales; Hymenochaetaceae.
UAACAAGGAUUCCCCUAGUAACUGCGAGUGAAGCGGGAAGAGCUCAAAUUUAAAAUCUGGCGGCCUCCUGGUCGUCCGAGUUGUAGUCUGGAGAAGUGUUAUCCGCGUCGGACCGUGUACAAGUCUCCUGGAACGGAGCGUCAUAGAGGGUGAGAAUCCCGUCCAUGACACGGACGCCCGAUGCUAUGUGAGGCACUCUCAAAGAGUCGAGUUGUUUGGGAAUGCAGCUCAAAAUGGGUGGUAAAUUCCAUCUAAAGCUAAAUAUUGGCGAGAGACCGAUAGCGAACAAGUACCGUGAGGGAAAGAUGAAAAGCACUUUGGAAAGAGAGUUAAACAGUACGUGAAAUUGUUGAAAGGGAAACGCUUGAAGUCAGUCGCGUCCCGUGGAACUCAGCCUGGUUUCGACCUGGUGUACUUUCCAUGUGGACGGGUCAACAUCAAUUUCGACCGGUGGACAAGGGCGAGGGGAAUGUAGCGUGGCUUCGGCGACGUGUUAUAGCCCCCCGUCGUAUACACUGGCUGGGAUUGAGGACCGCAGCACGCCCUUGUGGCCGGGGGUUCGCCCCACGUAAACGUGCUUAGGAUGUUGGCAUAAUGGCUUUAAGCGAC